Molecule: long non-coding RNA, 404 nt
Filed under: Setaria viridis
Lineage: Eukaryota; Viridiplantae; Streptophyta; Magnoliopsida; Poales; Poaceae
Description: long non-coding RNA (SVIR_LNC005030)
Source: RNAcentral
GGUGGUGGUGGUGACGGUGCUACUGCAGACGAGGUGGGGAAUAACAUGUGGUCGCCGUGGUUUUUCUUUUUCAACCUUAAUUUUUUAUCUAUAUAAUAAAUAUCAUAAUUUCACUAAAAAUCUUCUUAACUAAUUCUGCAAGUACUGGAGCGCUUCAUUUGCUAACAUGGAGUUAGCUCAUGCCCGGUGUCUCCUCUGGAGGCUGAGUCUGUUAUUGGAUCCUCAAAUGUAAUUUGAUAUGUAGGUGAAUUUGAUGGCUUAUGAAGCUUUCAGCAACGAUUUAUUUUGUCAAAGUUAGUGAACUAUCAUAGUUGGUCCGUAUAUAACAAUGGUUGUUUAUUACUGUAUUAUAAAAUAAAAUUAAAGUUUGAUACAUUAAUAAGUUACCUCUUCUAGACUGUAAU